AUGGUGUUUGGAGAUGGGAUCUGUCCUUUCAUCAGCCCACACUGGACCAGACAUACUCCAGAGCUCAUGGCAAGAAGGGCUGGGCUGUCUUCCACGAAGGUGAUGUGUGCUGAGGCUGCAUGCGGGAGGCUGGGAGUGGUGAUUAAUGCCCUGGGAAUUCGCCUUGCCUCGCUACACAGCGCCGUAGUGUCAGGGCGCCAGGAACACUUACCUACUGUGCUCAGGAUCAGGCAGCGAGACAGAGACAGUGUGUUCUCAGCAGGGAGAGCUUGCUGCUGUGCUGCAGCUUCAUACUUGCACAGUGAGGCUCUCUUUGGACAUGGGUCUGCUGCUAAGCGGAGGCAGCAAUCCUGUCCUGCUGCAGCUCUGCUGCAGUUUGCACCCUUGACCUCUGCCAGGAUGCAGUCCCAGCAUUUGGUUGGUUUGGAGGAGCAAUCCCUUGCUGUGGUGGAGGGAUUGCCCAUCUGGAGGUGAGAGGGGAUGGCUCCCAGCCAGCAGUCAGACCGUGACUCACUGGGAUCUCAGGCGGAGCCUGGCUCUCCUUGCACUCUGCUCUUCCUGCGGGAGCCUCUGAGCAGGCUGCUGCUGGUUGUUUGUUCUCACCAAGCCGCCCUGGGCUGGAACUGAGAGAAGCUCAUGUCCACCAUUAAAGCUGAGAAGCUGGGCUCUGCUGGUUUCCAGUCUGGAAGAUGCUGGGAGGCUUCUAUCUAGGUGAGAGUUUGGAGAAAAUGUCAGUCAGCACUCUGUGGAGUAAAACAAUGCCAAGACCAUGGAAAACAUAAUAUUUUGUGUUCUAAUUGUGUUAUGGAAUGAGCUAACACCACAAGACUGAUCUCAAACACAUCUAGACUUGAACGGGAAAGGAGAGCAAACAGCCUUGUUUUCAGAGGUAUUUCACAAUCCCUUGCUGGAAGAGGACCGCUUACCAGGUGCUGGCUCUGGGCUUUUGGUGGGCUGGGACAUGUUCCCUGGUAGCUCCAGUGGUUUAUGCUCCCUGCCGUCUGGCUGGUGAAGCACUGAUCUGAUGCUGUAUGCAGGGCAAUUCGAGAGACAGAUGUUCAAAAGAAGUGUCUGGUAAUUUUGGCAUAAGGGUAGGAGUGGCUACAGCCAUCAAUGAUCUGCAUUGGGAUUGUCAGAAAUCCCCAGCAAUCUCAGAGAAGAGUUUGUAUGCUCCUGGCUCUGGCCCUUAGUGAGCAUCCCAUCCCCUCCCUUCUUUCCGAAGGUCAGUGAGUGCUGCAACGUGAAUGUGGAUUAGCAUCAGUCCUUAAAUUGUUCUCCAUUGUAGCUGCAGUUAAUGGGUACAUGUCAGAACGACUGCAGCGGUGCCUGCCCCUCUCAGUCCUCUCUCAUUUGAAACAGAGUCCCCAGAGCUCAUGGCAGAUACUUCUAGGACCCUGAGCUCAGCCUUGUGCCACAGCCACCACAACUCAUUGCAAGGCUGCUUUCUUGUCUUUAGCAUUUCCAGACUCACUGA
Molecule: long non-coding RNA, 1474 nt
Filed under: Numida meleagris (helmeted guineafowl)
Lineage: Eukaryota; Metazoa; Chordata; Aves; Galliformes; Numididae
Description: lncRNA (ENSNMEG00000014582.1)
Source: RNAcentral